This 718-nucleotide ribosomal RNA is filed under the name Vibrio sp. KR08-41. Its description in RNAcentral is "bacterial SSU rRNA". It matches the Rfam family "Bacterial small subunit ribosomal RNA", at positions 106 to 820 of the family's 1533-position model. Lineage: Bacteria; Pseudomonadati; Pseudomonadota; Gammaproteobacteria; Vibrionales; Vibrionaceae. The record is from RNAcentral.
GUGAGUAAUGCCUGGGAAAUUGCCCUGAUGUGNNNGAUAACCAUUGGAAACGAUGGCUAAUACCGCAUAAUGUCUACGGACCANAGAGGGGGACCUUCGGGCCUCUCGCUUCNGGAUAUGCCCAGGUGGGAUUAGCUAGUUGGUGAGGUAAUGGCUCACCAAGGCGACGAUCCCUAGCUGGUCUGAGAGGAUGAUCANCCACACUGGAACUGAGACACGGUCCAGACUCCUACGGGAGGCAGCAGUGGGGAAUAUUGCACAAUGGGCGCAAGCCUGAUGCAGCCAUGCCGCGUGUAUGAAGAAGGCCUUCGGGUUGUAAAGUACUUUCAGUCGUGAGGAAGGCGUUGNAGUUAAUAGCUUCAUCGUUUGACGUUAGCGACAGAAGAAGCACCGGCUAACUCCGUGCCAGCAGCCGCGGUAAUACGGAGGGUGCGAGCGUUAAUCGGAAUUACUGGGCGUAAAGCGCAUGCAGGUGGUUUGUUAAGUCAGAUGUGAAAGCCCGGGGCUCAACCUCGGAACCGCAUUUGAAACUGGCAGGCUAGAGUACUGUAGAGGGGGGUAGAAUUUCAGGUGUAGCGGUGAAAUGCGUAGAGAUCUGANGGAAUACCAGUGNCGAAGGCGNNCCCCUGNACAGAUACUGACACUCAGAUGCGAAAGCGUGGGGAGCAAACAGGAUUAGAUACCCUGGNAGUCCACGCCGUAAACGAUGUCUACUUGG